Molecule: ribosomal RNA, 253 nt
Filed under: uncultured bacterium
Lineage: Bacteria
Description: partial 16S ribosomal RNA
Rfam family: Bacterial small subunit ribosomal RNA
Source: RNAcentral
UACAGAGGUGGCAAGCGUUGUUCGGAAUUACUGGGCGUAAAGGGCGCGUAGGCGGUUCGUUAAGUCCUGUGUGAAAUCCCCCGGCUCAACUGGGGAACUGCACAGGAAACUAGCGGGCUUGAGUUCGGGAGAGGGAAGCGGAAUUCCGGGUGUAGCGGUGAAAUGCGUAGAUAUCCGGAGGAACACCGGUGGCGAAGGCGGCAUCCUGGACCGGUAUUGACGCUGGGGCGCGAAAGCCAGGGGAGCAAACGGG